RNAcentral lists this ribosomal RNA (253 nucleotides) under uncultured bacterium. RNAcentral describes it as "partial 16S ribosomal RNA". It matches the Rfam family "Bacterial small subunit ribosomal RNA", at positions 524 to 776 of the family's 1533-position model. The record is from RNAcentral.
UACGUAGGGUGCAAGCGUUGUCCGGAAUUAUUGGGCGUAAAGAGCUCGUAGGCGGUUUGUCACGUCGGAUGUGAAACCCUGAGGCUCAACCUCAGGCCUGCAUUCGAUACGGGCAGACUAGAAUUCGGCAGGGGAGACUGGAAUUCCUGGUGUAGCGGUGAAAUGCGCAGAUAUCAGGAGGAACACCGGUGGCGAAGGCGGUUCUCUGGGCAUUACCUGACGCUGAGGAGCGAAAGUGUGGGGAGCGAACAGG